This 146-nucleotide ribosomal RNA is filed under the name uncultured bacterium. RNAcentral describes it as "partial 16S ribosomal RNA". It matches the Rfam family "Bacterial small subunit ribosomal RNA", at positions 388 to 525 of the family's 1533-position model. The record is from RNAcentral.
CCAGCCUGCCGCGUGUGUGAAGAAGGUCUUCGGAUUGUAAAGCACUUUAAGUUAGGGAGGAAGGGCAGUUACCUAAUACGUAGAUUGUUUUGACGUUACCGACAGAAUAAGCACCGGCUAACUCUGUGCCAGCAGCCGCGGUAAUA